CGCUGGCGGCGUGCCUAACACAUGCAAGUCGAACGAGAAAGUGGAGCAAUCCAUGAGUAAAGUGGCGACCGGGUGAGUAACACGUGACUAACCUACCUUCGAGUGGGGGAUAACCUCGGGAAACCGGGGCUAAUACCGCAUAAUGCCUUCGGGUUAAAGGAGCAAUUCGCUUGAAGAGGGGGUCGCGGCCGAUUAGGUAGUUGGCGGGGUAACGGCCCACCAAGCCCGUGAUCGGUAGCCGGCCUGAGAGGGCGCACGGCCACACUGGAACUGAAACACGGUCCAGACUCCUACGGGAGGCAGCAGUGGGGAAUUUUGCGCAAUGGGGGAAACCCUGACGCAGCAACGCCGCGUGGAGGAUGAAGUCCCUUGGGACGUAAACUCCUUUCGACCGGGACGAUUAUGACGGUACCGGUGGAAGAAGCCCCGGCUAACUUCGUGCCAGCAGCCGCGGUAAUACGAGGGGGGCGAGCGUUGUUCGGAAUUAUUGGGCGUAAAGGGCACGUAGGCGGUGCGGUAAGUCACCUGUGAAACCUCU
RNAcentral lists this ribosomal RNA (538 nucleotides) under uncultured bacterium. Its description in RNAcentral is "bacterial SSU rRNA". It matches the Rfam family "Bacterial small subunit ribosomal RNA", at positions 34 to 604 of the family's 1533-position model. The record is from RNAcentral.